Triticum aestivum (bread wheat) is the source of this 1781-nucleotide long non-coding RNA. RefSeq lists it as uncharacterized. The transcript has 3 exons. NCBI's taxonomy places the organism in Eukaryota, Viridiplantae, Streptophyta, Magnoliopsida, Poales, Poaceae. The record is from RefSeq and is a predicted model, not a curated record.
CACGAUGACAGUGAAGUAUAUCAAGCUGGUGCUAAAAGAAGGACUCUUAACCCCUCUAUUCCUCAUAAGGAGAGCUUGGAGUCUGAAGAUUUUUCUGCAAAGUAGGUUUCCCUUUGGCUCUAAUUCAUGAUAUUUGGUAACUUGUUGUUGUUGUAGUUAUAUUGAUAACCUGGUGAUUUCAGAUACCAACAAAAAUUUAUUUGCCUAUAUUACGGUUGCAGAAGUCCUUGUGGAUAUCCUAUACAGUAUAAAUAUGAACCACCACUUGGUGGAUCGCUGCUGUUUAGAGCUCUGCUCUGUUAAUGCUACUUUGAGUCUAGAUGGCAUUAACUACAGAGAAGGGAUCUAGCUAGGUUUGCAAUGGCAUGUGUACUAACGAAUCAUUUUAGUCUCAGGUUUUCCCUGCAAAACUGAAGUUCAUGUCUCAUGUUUGGAUUAAUCACGGUGUAGUCUGAUGGUAAUUUGUCUACUUAGUGCAGUUUAUGUAUUCUUCCACAACUUCAUUUAAUGCUUUCAGAGUUAAAGUUUUGGGGAUAGUUUGGAUGUUAUACCCAAGGCAUUAUAAUUGCUCUAUAUUAUUCUUAAUUUCAUAUAUCAUCACCUUAGACUACUCGAACUGUCGGCCAUGCUUUGUGAUCAUGUGCGACGAGCAUAUUGUUCGGUGCUGCUAUUUUCCAUUCGCUGCUGGGUUGCUUCUACUCUCCACCAAUCUGUCAAGUAGCAAAGAGUAGGUUUGACCUCAAUUUCGAUGCAGACAUGGAUUGGGAUGUGAUGCAUGUACUUGCUAAUUAAGGGAUUUGGAUCUUGCCCUCAAUUAGAGUUCCCAAUCUCAACGAAGUGGGGUUUACGAAUUUUAUUAUUUUUUAGCUUGAAUGGACUGUAGCUUCGCUUAAUUGACUGACAGUUGUAUUUGACUGCAUAACUGGAUUAAUUGAUUUCAUGGCAGAUGCCGGUUUUGACCUUGGUUGAUCAUGCUUUGUUCCUUGUUUGGCCUGCAACAUAUUUUCUAUGCAUUCGCAGAAAUGGUUUAUCUUGGACAUGAUUCUCAAAGAAGAUACAGAUGUGCAUGCUUCAUAUCUUCUACACGCUUAUGCAAAGCAGGAUUUUAUUCAUAUUUUGAUGAGCUUAAUUUCUUAUGCUAAUGUUUGCUUCCGCCUGAAGGAUACAUAUGGUAUGUUUUGUGAGCGGUGGGUAUGGAUGAGGUGAGUGCGUCUGUUAGUGCAUCAUUUUUGUUGGAUACUUUAAUCUGUUAAGGUUGGUAUAUAUUGAGUGUUGAUGAUGACAUGUUUAUUUUGAUUGGCGUGGUUGCCUCAAAGUAAUGCCCUGCUACUCCUUGGGGGGCGUGAGUGAAGAUUUAUGCCUUAAGCAUAGGAAUGAGGGAGUAGGUAUCCAACAGAAUAGGCGAUGAUGCUAGGAGAAAAAGAAGACUUUGAUCUGGUUCUUCAAAGAGGUACAUCAAGGAACAAGUACAUGGUGCUACUCGAUGGUCAGCCAGAUUCUGACUAUUAUUUUGGGAUGCCAAAGAGAUAGCACAUGAUGUUCGACCGCUGGGGAAUUGAAGUAUAGUGCUUACCAAUAUACUGGCAUGUAUUUUUUUCUAAAGGAUAUAGUGGUUUCCUUUAGUUGAAAUACAUAAAAUUUUCACCCCCAAUGAUUCAACAAGAGUUGUUCAUUAAAAGUGUGUGGUCUCUUUCUUCAUCAAGAAUUGAAAUAUCUGUGCUAUUAUAACUCCAUGGAGAGCAAUAAUAUAAUUUUCACAAGGGGUGACCUUUAUUGGCUAA